Molecule: unclassified non-coding RNA, 352 nt
Filed under: Hevea brasiliensis (rubber tree)
Lineage: Eukaryota; Viridiplantae; Streptophyta; Magnoliopsida; Malpighiales; Euphorbiaceae
Source: RNAcentral
AAAAAGAAUACAACCCUGCUUGUCUCUACAGCCAACAUUUGUGAUCCAGAAAAUGACGAUAUAAAAAGCCAAAUUGCAUACCCAAUAAUUGAGAUAUGCAGGAAAGUAUACACAUGUAGUUUGUUGCUUAGUCCAGAGAAUAAUGAAUAAAUGUUCUAUGGCAAAAGUAAAUCUAUAAAUCAAAAGCAUACAACAAGCCAAGCCCUGAAGCUAUAUAUAUAUUUAUUUUAACUUCUGUGUACCUUAUCCCUUUGCAGCAGAACUGCACAGAUACCAUGGUUCUGACAAAGUGUUCCCUUGUAGCCUCCUAGAUGUAGCAUAAACUAGAAACCAGCCCAUCCAGCAGGUUGAG